AGCAGCCGCCGCGGGAAUACAGAGGGUGCGAGCGUUAAUCGGAUUUACUGGGCGUAAAGCGUGCGUAGGCGGCUUCUUAAGUCGGAUGUGAAAUCCCUGAGCUUAACUUAGGAAUUGCAUUCGAUACUGGGAAGCUAGAGUAUGGGAGAGGAUGGUAGAAUUACAGGUGUAGCGGUGAAAUGCGUAGAGAUCUGGAGGAAUACCGAUGGCGAAGGCAGCCAUCUGGCCUAAUACUGACGCUGAGGUACGAAAGCAUGGGGAGCAAACAGGAUUAGAUACCCGGGUAGUCCCUGUCUCUUAUAA
Molecule: ribosomal RNA, 303 nt
Filed under: uncultured bacterium
Lineage: Bacteria
Description: partial 16S ribosomal RNA
Rfam family: Bacterial small subunit ribosomal RNA
Source: RNAcentral